Molecule: ribosomal RNA, 467 nt
Filed under: uncultured bacterium
Lineage: Bacteria
Description: partial 16S ribosomal RNA
Rfam family: Bacterial small subunit ribosomal RNA
Source: RNAcentral
GACGAACGCUGGCGGCGUGCUUAACACAUGCAAGUCGAACGGAAAGGCCCUGCUUUUGUGGGGUGCUCGAGUGGCGAACGGGUGAGUAACACGUGAGUAACCUGCCCUUGACUUUGGGAUAACUUCAGGAAACUGGGGCUAAUACCGGAUAGGAGCUCCUGCCGCAUGGUGGGGGUUGGAAAGUUUCGGCGGUUGGGGAUGGACUCGCGGCUUAUCAGCUUGUUGGUGGGGUAGUGGCUUACCAAGGCUUUGACGGGUAGCCGGCCUGAGAGGGUGACCGGCCACAUUGGGACUGAGAUACGGCCCAGACUCCUACGGGAGGCAGCAGUGGGGAAUAUUGCACAAUGGGCGGAAGCCUGAUGCAGCAACGCCGCGUGCGGGAUGACGGCCUUCGGGUUGUAAACCGCUUUCGCCUGUGACGAAGCGUGAGUGACGGUAAUGGGUAAAGAAGCACCGGCUAACUACGG